RNAcentral lists this ribosomal RNA (253 nucleotides) under uncultured bacterium. RNAcentral's name for it is "partial 16S ribosomal RNA". It matches the Rfam family "Bacterial small subunit ribosomal RNA", at positions 524 to 776 of the family's 1533-position model. The record is from RNAcentral.
UACGUAGGUGGCAAGCGUUGUUCGGAAUAACUGGGCGUAAGGGAUGCGUAGGCGGUUAAACAAGUUAUAUGUUAAAUAUAUAGGCUUAACCUGUAGAAAGCAUAUAAAACUGUUUAACUAGAGUGCAGGAGAGGUAAGUGGAAUUCCUAGUGUAGCGGUGAAAUGCGUAGAGAUUAGGAAGAACACCAGUGGCGAAGGCGACUUACUGGACUGUAACUGACGCUGAGGCAUGAGAGCAUGGGGAGCAAACAGG